This 445-nucleotide ribosomal RNA is filed under the name uncultured bacterium. Its description in RNAcentral is "SSU rRNA". It matches the Rfam family "Bacterial small subunit ribosomal RNA", at positions 26 to 518 of the family's 1533-position model. The record is from RNAcentral.
AGAACGAACGCUGGCGGCAGGCUUAACACAUGCAAGUCGAGCGCACCGCAAGGUGAGCGGCAGACGGGUGAGUAACGCGUGGGAAUCUACCCAACCCUACGGAAUAACACAGGGAAACUUGUGCUAAAUACCGUAUACGCCCUACGGGGGAAAGAUUUAUCGGGGUUGGAUGAGCCCGCGUUGGAUUAGCUAGUUGGUGGGGUAAUGGCCUACCAAGGCGACGAUCCAUAGCUGGUCUGAGAGGAUGAUCAGCCACACUGGGACUGAGACACGGCCCAGACUCCUACGGGAGGCAGCAGUGGGGAAUAUUGGACAAUGGGCGAAAGCCUGAUCCAGCCAUGCCGCGUGAGUGAUGAAGGCCUUAGGGUUGUAAAGCUCUUUCAGUGGGGAAGAUAAUGACGGUACCCACAGAAGAAGCCCCGGCUAACUUCGUGCCAGCAGCCGC